UGAGGAAUAUUGGUCAAUGGGCGGGAGCCUGAACCAGCCAAGUCGCGUGAGGGAAGACGGUCCUAUGGAUUGUAAACCUCUUUUGUCGGGGAGCAAAGAGGCCACGUGUGGUCAAAAGCGAGAGUACCCGAAGAAAAGCAUCGGCUAACUCCGUGCCAGCG
This 161-nucleotide ribosomal RNA is filed under the name uncultured bacterium. RNAcentral describes it as "partial 16S ribosomal RNA". It matches the Rfam family "Bacterial small subunit ribosomal RNA", at positions 355 to 513 of the family's 1533-position model. The record is from RNAcentral.